This 202-nucleotide long non-coding RNA is filed under the name Mytilus galloprovincialis (Mediterranean mussel). The record is from RNAcentral. Lineage: Eukaryota; Metazoa; Mollusca; Bivalvia; Mytilida; Mytilidae.
CCUGCAUUAUAUCUACUGGGGCAAUCAGGGUCACAAAACAUGUCACUUUAUUGAAAGAGGUUGGUCUUGAGCUUCUUCAAACACGCCGUCAAGUUCAUAGACUUACAUACUUGUACAAAAUUAAAAAUCAUCUUGUCCCAGAUUAUCUCUGUAAUUUUCAUCCAUUGUUCCAUCAUAAUACUGAAAACUAUAACUUAAGACG